This 617-nucleotide long non-coding RNA is filed under the name Pan troglodytes (chimpanzee). RNAcentral describes it as "long non-coding RNA NONPTRT002792". The record is from RNAcentral. Lineage: Eukaryota; Metazoa; Chordata; Mammalia; Primates; Hominidae.
AAAAAAAAGAACUAAAUUCAACAAACACCUACUAAGAUUUUAGGGAGCAGGUAGCAACUGAGCAUGCAUACAGCAAGCAGUUCACGUAGUAAAACUUACACUGAGCUAUUAGGCUCAGCUAUUAGGAGUCAGUAGGCAGGUGGGUAAGAAGUGACUGGAAGGGGGCAUAAGGAUUGGGGAAAUAGAAUUUUCCUAUCUUGAAAACCCAUGACUAGAUUUAUUGCAUACUCUUAGCCUUGACAUUAGAGGGAAGAAUCAGAACAAGUGAGUACAGAGAAACUCAAUAAUAACUGUUAACAAGGCGUUUAAAAGAUGUACUGGAAGCUGGGUGUGGUGAAAAAAAAAUGUCCUGGAACAAUUCAAAACAAGGUAAAACAGAUGUCAACAACUGAGAGAGUUGAUGGAAAUGUUACAAGGAUAGCUUAUGCCAGGUACUUUCAUUCUUAAUACUCUGUAAAGAAAACAGAGAAUCAGCCAUGCAUUUAAGAUUAAAAGAAAGCUUAAAUACAAAACAGCACUGAAAGAAAUGAAAAAAGCUUGUUCAUAGACUAGAAAUUUAAUCAUUAAGAAGAUAAUACUCCCCAAACUGAUCUAUAGAUUCAAUGCAAUCCCCCACA